Molecule: non-coding RNA, 739 nt
Organism: Elaeis guineensis (African oil palm)
Lineage: Eukaryota; Viridiplantae; Streptophyta; Magnoliopsida; Arecales; Arecaceae
Source: RefSeq, a predicted model, not a curated record
UUUGCUCCAAUUUAUUUGCUUCACAAGUUGGCUGCUUUAGUAUUUCUCUUCUAUAAGUUGUAGGAGCAAUAUCUAUACUAGGAGGUCCUUCCGCAUCCUACUCCUGCACAGUCAGACAGCUCUUCAUUUCAGUCUAAUUGGACACAGGAGCAAGUUGAGGAGAUGCUCAACAAAUGGAUGGAGGAGCGCGUGUUGGUAGGGACAGUCAAGAUAAAGACACGAGUUGUAGCUUAGAUGAUGGUUUAGAUUCCUCACUUGUUUGAAGCUUAGACACAUUCAAAGGGCAUGAAGGAAUUAAAUCAUCUGAAUCUGGGAUCUAAAGGGCGAGAUUAGGAUGUAGCGAUGGAAGAAUCCAUGACCUCGAUCGGGAUUGAUGUGCAUAGAAGCAGAUGGGGUGGCUUCAACUUGGGCGACAUGGAGGCUAGCUCAUACCAGGCCUCAACGCCAGAGGCACCUUGGUGCUUGAAAAAAUGAUCAAUAAUCUGUUGAAUUUACAUGGCAGGUUGUAAUUUUUUUUUUUUUUUUUGAUGAGCAUAAAAGAUAAUCUAUACUUCAUAAUACUUAGCAACUGAUGUUUUAAACAGGCUAUAGAGGCAGAGAAAUUUAGAUAUAAUACUUUUAAGAUUAUUUAGAUCAAAAUAUUUUGCGGAAAGUUUUUAUUACUUCCUUGCUUCCUAAAAACAUGCUUUACAGAAAGCAAUGAAAAUAUUCUGGCAAAAAAUUAUUCAAAUUUUCUAGU